UACGUAGGAUCCGAGCGUUGUCCGGAAUUACUGGGUGUAAAGGGCGUGUAGGUGGAUCUCUAAGUCGGUGGUGAAAUCCUGCAGCUUAACUGUAGAAUUGCCUUCGAUACUGGAGAUCUUGAGUGCGGCAGAGGGAGACGGAAUUCAUGGUGUAGCGGUGAAAUGUGUAGAUAUCAUGAAGAACACCGGUUGCGAAGGCGGUUUCCUGGUCCGUUACUGACACUGAGGCGCGAAAGCGUGGGGAGCAAACAGGAUUAGAUACCCUGGUAGUCCACGCCUUAAACGAUGGGUACUCGGUGCUGGUCCCGUUCGGCAUCCGCUACGGCGGAUUCGGAACGGGGUCAGUGCCAAAGCUAACGCAUUAAGUACCCCACCUGGGGAGUACGAUCGCAAGGUUGAA
This 400-nucleotide ribosomal RNA is filed under the name uncultured bacterium. RNAcentral describes it as "bacterial SSU rRNA". It matches the Rfam family "Bacterial small subunit ribosomal RNA", at positions 524 to 898 of the family's 1533-position model. The record is from RNAcentral.